GGGCCAUGUUUAUAUAUAUAUAUAUAUAUAUUUUUUUUACUUUUGGGUCCUUAUUUAUUUUUCAUUGGGCUAUAUUAAUAUAAAGCCCAUCACAUCUAGCUAAUGAUCAGCCUUUACUCUCUUUUCAUUAUUGAUCAGAAAUUUUACUGCAUUUACGUGUUUCUUUCCUCAGCCAUAAUUCUAUAUUCAUUUUCAGCCACAAAUUUUUAACUUGGCCUUGAAGAACACUCACAAUUCUGCAGCCACAUAUUUUCAAAGUAGAAAACUAUUUCGUGCAGCCCAAGAAUUUAGUCCUAUUUAAACUCAAAUUACCCAAAUUUGUAUACCAGCAAUUCACUCCUCAUUUGUUCACUUCACCAUAUAAACUCAAUCUGCCAUUUCUCACUGCACAUCAUCAAUCGGUACUUUUAAUAUUUUCUGUAAGUUUAAUACUCAUAUGCAAUGAUUUCUGUUUUCUUUGUAAAUUCCCCAAUUUUCAAAAGAAUCAAAAGCCCUACAAUGGAAGAAUAGCAUUUUCAUUAAUUUACAACAAAUUUAGAAAAAUAGAAGAGGUGGAAAGAGGAAUAGGGAUAUAGAAGAGGGCAGUCGGCGCCAUGCGCUGCAUGCGCACACGGCGGCCGGCGGUGAGAAGCCGGGUUGGCGGCCGGCGAUGAAGAAGAAGUACAGCAGCAGCGCCGGAUCUGGGAUGGUGGGAGGCGGCCUGACCAACCGCUGCUCUCCGUCUCGGGGCGGCGAGGGUGGCCACGCUGUCAGCUGAAGAGGGAGAAGGUGAGGGCGGUGUCGGGUAGGAACAGGCGGCGGCUGGCGGAGAAUGACGUCGGAGAAGGAGGCGGCCGCGACUGGGCGCGGUUGUGGGAGGAGAAACAGAGGGAGAACGACAGAAAGGGAGAGAGGUCGAAGGGGGCGAGAGAUGAGGGAAGAAGGGAGAUAGGAAGAAGAGGAGAGGAGGCGGAGCCGCCGGUCUCCGGCGGCGGCGUGUCGUCCGGUGGUGGCGGCAGGCAGGAGGCCGAGAGGGAGAGAGAGGGAGUGAGGAGGGGGGCGUGAGCUGCGUGAGUGUGGAGUGUGUGUUGAAGUUGUAGGAUUUAAGUUAGGGCAAGAGUUGGAAGUUUGGGCUUGGGCCUAGGGUUGGUUUUUAUUUAAUUGUUGGGCUCUUAUUUUAAAUGGGCUGGACUUCAUAUUUUAAAUUGCAUUAUUAAGUUGGGCCUGAUUAUUUUUAUUAAAUCCCAACUCAAAUUUUAAUAAGAGCAUGCAUUUUAUAUUUUGAUUCAUUAGACCAACUAUUUUCCAAAUGAUUUUAUGAUAAUAAAUUCUUAAGAUUUAAACUACUAUUAUUAUUAUUUUAAAGUUCAAUUAGGCCCUUAUAUUUUAUUAUUUGAAUUUAUCUGACUAGGUGCGACGCGACUAGGACAUAACUUUUCAUUGAACUAUUCAAGUCAGUUAUCAAGUUCAAGUUUCAGGUGUGGGAUUUAUUUCAGUACAUGCUGUGGUUAAUUGUUGUCCAUUUUAAUAGUAUGUGUUUGCCAUAUGUGUUGUAAAUUCAGUUAUAUCGCUAGGGGCCCGCUCAAUGGGUCCAGGACUUCACAGUCCUUGGUAUGCCACAAUGCGAUUUCAUGUUACAGUUAUGGUUGCAACCUAUUCGCCAGGGGCCUGCUCAAUGGGUCCAGGACUUUAAAGUCCUUGGUAUGCCACCGUGCGAAUUUCAGUUAUCAGUACAGUGCAGUGCGUAUGUGUUGACCAUUUUAUUAACGUGGACAAUUAUUGCAUGUUUCCCACACUGAGUAUAUUCUGUAUGCUCAUCCCAUAUUAAACAUUUCAGGUAUUUUGACGUUGGAGACGCGUGGAAGGUCGAAUGGGCGCAUCGAGAUUCAAGACAUUUAUCAAGUAGUUGAUUUGAUUUCCAACUAAUUUAAGUAUUUAAAGUUUUGCUUAGCACAAGUUUUACCUAAUACCUGGAUAUUUUGAUGACAUCUUUAUGUCAUGCUUUGAAAUAAGAGGUUGAUUGUCGAUUUUUUUUUAAAUCAAAGUUAGCCUUUGAGUACAUUAUUUUAAAAGUUUAAUUUUUUAGGGUUUGCUCCCUUUGAAGUGUUUUCAAAAUAUUUUAUUUAAAAAUUUAUUUAUUUGAUAAUAAAUCCAAAUCUUUAUUUUAUGAUAUUUCCGCUGUCAAAAAUUAUGUACAUUCAUAUUUUAAUACGUUAAUUAGAUUAGGGUGUUACAGCAUGGUAUCAGAGCAGGUCUACUUUCCUGUAGACUCUGCAAAAUAAAAUUUUUCUUAAAAUGUUUCAAGUCAAGUGUGACAAGGCCAUUCGACCACUACGCGCUCCGACGUCAAGGUAAAAGUUAUUUUAAAAGUUUUCAAGGGGAUGAGUAUAAACUGUUUAUAUUCCGAAUUUAUGUUAAACUUGCUGCAAUAAUUGAAGUUAUGAUCAGAAAGUUCAAGUUCAUUAUUCAAGUUAUUAUGAGAAAGUUCAGUAUACAAUUCAUCAUGUUGAAGAUUAUUGCAGCUAUGAUUUUAUUUCGGAAUAUUUCAGUUCAUGAUAUUGAAUUACGGGUUUUGAAAUAUUUAUUUUGAACAUCGUCCUCGAAAUAGGAAUAACCUAGAAAUUUUCCUAGAAAAGCUUUGACCUAUAUCCUCUCAAUUCGUAAGUGCGUAGAAACCUAUAUAAAAUGUCCCUGAAUAUAGAUCCAUAAGAAGUACGCAUGCCUAUUCUCGUAGCUAGUGUAGAGAACACUAGCACGAACUACAAGGACGAAGCUAAGCAAAACAAACUCGUCAAACUAGUGGAUGAGAUUUCAAGAAUCAAUUUUGAGUGCAUUACGAGGAUUUGUCCAAACAACAAACCCAAGCUCAGGCUACGCGACCUAAAGUCAACUCAAAUGCUUAACGCGAUGGAUAGUGCUGUCGAAUGAACUACAACUCGCAAUGAUUCGAUAGACCUGAUAGGUAAUUAGCAGUUGAAGAAGGGUUAGAGGAACUAGAACGAGUUUUCACUCAUCUCAAUUGUACCAACGGACAGAAAACAUCAUAUGUUAUCUUUCAACUUGUGGAGGAACUCUGAAACGACGAUAUCUGUGAUGAAAGCAAUGGAGAUAUUAGAUCAAUAUUCUAGGAAGCGCCGUGUAGUAAACAUUGAAGGAAAAGAAGACGAAGAACUUCCCCUCGAGAGUGUGCUAGUGGUACAUGAUUUUUCCUCAGCGUCACCUUGAGGAUCUCGCUUGAAUAUCGCUGCUAGAUAGACAAGUAUAGUUCACGAUCGAUCUAGUACCUAGAGUUGCACCUAUUUCAAAGCAUCAUAUGAUGGCGCCAAAAGAAUUGAAGAAUUAAAUACGCAAUUGCGAGAGCGUUUAGACAUAAGGUUUAUUGUCCAAGCAUGUCGUCCUGGGAAAUGCCAUUCUUAAUGGUCAAGAAGAAAGACGGAACGAAUGAUGUGUGUGUUUAUUGUUUGGGCUAGAUCGACUCACCAUCAAGAGAAAGUACCAUUUGCCACGGGUAGAAGAUUUACUCAAACCAAUUAGAAAGAAGUAGACGUGAUUUCGAAGAUCGACUUGAGAUUGGGUUGCCAUCAAAUUAGGAUAAAAUAGAGUGAUAUAUCGAAGACGACUUUCCAGAUAAGUUAGUCAUAGUUUUCAUCAACAAUAUUUUGAUAUACUUAAGUAACGAUGUGUGACGUGAUGAAUAUUUCAAGAUCGUCUUAUUAACUUUAUGGANAUUUUAAUAAUUUGUGAACUUGAAAAAAAAUUGUGAAAUAAGAUGUGAUAUCGCUUGCAAAAUUAUUACAUAUACUUGAAGACAAUGUAUUAUAAUAUAGUAUUGAAGUUGUUGGGAACUUAAUGAAAUAUCCUAAUCCUAGUUUUGAUGAUACCAAAAUCAAUAGGUUUCAAUUGUAAUAGACUAGAAUUGUUCGAACUCAAGUGUUAGAGUUCUUUUCUAGUUUAGGUGCGGUUCUGAAGACUGGAGAACGAAGGACUGAAGACUGAAGAUGCCGACUGAUGUAACGAUUAAGGCAAAGUCAAAUACUGAUAUUUGACUUAUCAGUCGAAGGAUCAGUUUCGACUGAUUACUUAAUGCAUGCCACGUGGAUUCAGCGGACUGAUACUAAAGUCAAGUAUCAGUUAAACAUUCUUCCUCGGACUGAACCUCCAACGUUCAAAGGAAGCCACGCACUCCAGAAGUACAGCCGCAUUAAAUGCAGAGAUAUCAGUAUCGUCCUUUCUCUGCAGAGGCCAUUCCUUUUUUGUGAUUAUCUUUUCAGAGAUGUCGCAUCUUCUGCUCUUCAAAGUAGCGGUUUGCACCAAACAAGGAACCUCGAAGAUUGAAGCCUCAGCCCAAGUUCAAAUUACUCUCUAACGGAAGAAAUCUUGAAGACCAUCUCCGCCAACGGAUCUAUUCAAGACGUCUCCUAUAAAUUGCGCUCGAGGAUCACUUCAAUCUUCACCGAUUCAACAACAUAAGCUGAAACGCUGCCGAAUUCGUUACUCAGCAAAAUCAAGCCUCCCCAAAGUUUGAAUCGAAGAAGAUAAUUACAAAGCCAAAUAUCAGUCACUGCUGAUUACAUACAUUCUCUUAGACCCUUAGGCAAAUAUUGUAUAUCCAAAGCCUAGGUAAAACUGACUGCAAAGAACUUGUUCUUUGUGGUUUAGUUGGCAAGUUUUCAAACCUCUCUUCAACCAACCGAAUUGAGUGUUUGUGUGGAAAAUGAGUUCAGACCAGUGUUCUAUCUCCGUGAGAUCUUAGUGCCUAGUGUGUGCUAGGAGUGAGAAAUCCAACCCAAUGUGUUGGUACUGAAGAUAGGAUCUUCAGUCAUCUCAGUUUGUGUGCACCUGCAAGCACACGUUCAGGUUUGAUGUGCACACGUAAGCACACGCAUCGUUUUGCAGUGCACCCGUAAGCACUUACCCAGUGAAGUUGUUGGUCUGAUCAACCGACCGUGGAUGUAGGAUGUGUUUUCCGAACCACGUAAAAAUUCUUGUGUUAUUUACAGCUUUCAGUACUUACUUUCUUACUUGUGCUCUUACGUUCAUAAACUGAAAUCUGAUUAAUUGCAAAGAAAAACUUAACGAUUGACAACGUGUUUAAUUUCACAGGCUAUUUUGAAAUAAAAGUUUUCCGAUGCGUGUGUUAUCAGUCUAACUGAUCUAUCUUCAGAUAGUCAGUAAGAUUCAUAUCAUCUCUAUGUUUAUCAAACUCGACUGAAGCCUUACGUUUAUCAGUUAAAGUCUUUGACUUAACUGAUAACUCCUUACUGAAGAGUAUUCAGUAUCAGUCGUCAACCCUGUUUUGACAAAACUCUUUUCAGUAAACAGGUUGAGUCAGUUUGUAUUUAAAGUUUCGUUUUAACUAAGUAAAAUAGCCUAUAGGUGUAUUCCCCCACCCAUACACCUAUUCGAGACCCUCCGGACCUAACAUUAAGUUAUAAUUAUAAGAUUCUUAAUAAGAUGUGUAUAUUGACGUAUGAAUCAGAUGAUUUGUUUGAUGAUACAUUAAUCUAUGUUGGAUAACUACUUAAACUCUUGGCUUGUUUUAUUAGCUAAAGUUCUUUAUUAAUGAAGUUUCAUAUUUUCUUAUAGUCUGGUUGAAAAUUGAUGUUGUGACACAUAUUGCUAAAAAGGGGUCAUUAUCUGACAUUUAUGAAACAUGAAUUUGGAAAAUUUGAUUGAAGUAAACGAAACUUUUGAGGCGAAUAAUCAAUGUUUAAAUUUUCAAUAUAUAUUUAAUUUUAAUAUUUUUGUAUUAUUAUCUUUGACCAACUUAUUAGAUGAUAAAUAAAAUAAAAAAGGUUAGAAAAAAUAAAUAAAUUGCCGACGGCAAAUGUUGUUGGUAAUUACCAUUUGUCGUCUAGUAAUUAGCGGCGGCGGCACCACCGUCGGUAAUUUUGGCCGGACGGCGGUGCUGCUAUCGCUGGAUGUCACCGACGGUGGUGAUUAGCGGCGGCCACAUGCCGCCGGUAAAUAGCGACGACAAUUGCCGUCAGUAAUAAAUAAAUAUUAUUAAAUUAAUUAAUAAUAAAUAUAAAAUAAUAUAUAUUUAAAUUAGCGACAAUUUCAAAAUACGCGUAUUUCAUUUAUUAUAAUAGUGAAUACAACUAAAGUAAAUAAAGUAAUUAUUCGUAGAAUUUUAAUAAAUUAAAUAUUAGAUUAUUGAUUGAUUAAUUGAGAUGAUUGAUAAUAAUGGUGGUGUAAAGCACUCGUAACUAGGGAUGUCAAUACAUUCUGAGUUCCGUGGGCCGCCCUGAUUCCCGCGACCUUCACGAGUGUUAAAGAUGAAAGAAGAAAACGAUAGUUGAGUUUGUCAGGAAGCUCAUUUACCGUCGAUAGAAUUCACGAAUAAUAGCAGUUUUCCAACUACUAUCAACAUAGGCUCUAUACGAGGCAUUAUAUAGGAAAAAGUGUAGGUCAUCUUUACAUUAGGGAUGUAUUUGGCAAACGAUAAGUGUUAGGUCCAAAAAAAAAAAAAAAUCGUGAAAGCAACCAUCGAAGUAAUUGCGAGACAAAAGGAUCAAAAUGGCACGGGACCGAUAGAAGAAAGAAGUUCUAUUUCGACGUUCUAUUUCAAGGUUGGCGGAAGUAUUCUCCUUAAGUAGCACCGAUAAAUAGAGUCCCGUGGUUCAGAAAGAAACGAAAAUUGAGACCUCGAUUUAUAGGUUCGUUUAAAAUUCGAGAACGAAUAUGAUGAUGUAGCCUACCGUCUAGCUUUCACGCUACAACGGUCAGCAGUACAAAUGUGUGUCUCGAGGAUUGCGAAAUACUUGCACGAUUUCAGCCACAUCAUUCAUCAGCGUACAAAAGAGAAGUCAAUCAGUAUACUAGAUCAAAAGUACAAGCUUUACGAAGUCAAGAAGCACCGAUAGUCAAAUAUAGAGUGAACUAGGCACGGACCCCAAGAAACUACAUGAGAAUGAGAAGAGAAAUCCUAGCUCAUUAUUCCCAUUUAGAACCUAUUAAGUUAAAUUUCGAGGACGAAAUUUUUUUAAGUGGGUAGGUUUGUCACAGCCCAAAACCGUUUACUUCCUUUGCAAAUUUUAUUUGGAAAUUAUUAUAUUUUUGAGUUAUUUAUAUAUAUAUUUAUGAGUCGAAUUUAUGAAUAUGUCUAGUCGCGCCACUAGUUGGAUAGAUAAUUUUAAGUUAUAAAUUAUAACUUUAGCAAAUAAAUACUUUUAUGCUCAAAAUUGGGCCUAAAUAAAUAUUUUCAUAAUUGGACCUUAUUAGGCCUUAUUAGGCAUCUAUUUUCAUUUGGGCUUGAAUUGAAUUAGAGCCCAUAAAUUUUAGCAGAUUUCCUUCUCAACAGCAAUUACGUGCCUUUCUUUCAACCACAUUUUUAUGUUUAUUCCUCAGCCACAUUUCUUUAAUUCUUGAGGAGCACGCAUCAUUUUAAUUUAAUAGUCUUGGGCAUCAUGAAAUUCAAUCAAUUUAAAGUUUAUCUACCAAUUUCCACCGCCAUAAUUUUAUAAUCAUUCACGCCUAUAUAUAUAUAUAUACAUCAGAUUCAUCAGCCUUUAUCAUUUUUCACCUUCCUGUGAGACCUCAAACUUGCUCAGCACAUCUCUUCGAUCAUCUCCUUCUAUAGAGCUUCAGUGGGUAAAUUUAUUUUCUGUGAUUUUAAAUCAUCACAGCAACUCUAUUUCUCAUCUUUUGUGUUGUGCAGAAACAAUGAGUAAUUUCUAUUCUUGAAUCAAAUUCAGCAUACACAUGCUUCUCUAAUCCAACAAUUUUCCUAAAUCAUUCAUUUAAUUCAUGAGGAAAAAAGAUAUUGUAAAAAUCAUGUAGAAAACAUAAAAAUGACAGAAAGGGGUUUGAGAUGAAUUGGGUAAAGGCUGUUGUACGGGAAGAGGGUGAGUGCCGCAGGCGGCGCCCUCGCCGGGGGAACUGUGAACGGCGCCGGAUCUAGAGAAGGGAGGAAGACAGCGACGAAGAGUCGCCGGAGAAGGCGCGGCCGCGGCUGCGGCUGAUGCGGCGAGGACAGGGGCAGGGGAGGAGAAAGGGAGAGAGGAAGAAGAGGGAGAGGAGGCGGAGCCGUCGGUCUCCGCCGACGGCGCUGCCGUCCGGUGGCGCGGCGGCAGGAGGCCGAGAGGAAGAGGGCCGAGGGAGGAAGGGAGAGAGGGAGUGAGCAGCUGUGGGUGUGUGCGUGAGUUGUGUGUGUGUGUUGGGUGUGAAAGUCAAAAUGAGGUUUUAAUUAGGGGAGUUGGAAGAGUGGGCUUGGGUUGGGCCUAGGUUGAUCUAUUAAUAAACUCAUACACAUAUUUAAGUGAUUGAGCCCAAAUUUUAUAUAUCUUUUGGACUUCAUAUUUUAAUUUUCAUUAUUAAGUAGGACUUGAUUUUAUUAAAUCCCAACUCAAAUUUUAAUAAGAGCAUGCAUUUUAUUAUUUUGAUUCAUUAGACCAAUUAUUUUCCAAAUGAUUUUAUGAUAGUAAAUUCUUAAGAUUUAAACUAUUAUUAUUAUUAUUAUUUUUAAAGUUCAAAUAGGUCCUUAUACUUUUAUUAUUUGAAUUUAUCUGAUUAGGUGCGGCGCGACUAGGAUAUGGAUUUUAAUUGAAUUACUCAAGUUAGCUUUCAAGUUCAAGUUCAAAGUUUCAGGUGUGGGAUUUAUUUCAGUACAUGCCGUGGUUAAUUGUUGUCCAUUUUAAUAUUAUGUGUUUGCCAUAUGUGUUGUAAAUUCAGUUAUAUCGCUAGGGGCCCGCUCAAUGGGUCCAGGACUUCACCGUCCUUGGUAUGCCACAAUGCGAUUUCAUGUUACAGUUAGGGUUGCAACCUAUUCGCCAGGGGCCUGCUCAAUGGGUCCAGGACUUUAAAGUCCUUGGUAUGCCACCGUGCGAAUUUCAGUUAUCAGUACAGUGCAGUGCGUAUGUGUUGACCAUUUUAUUAACGUGGACAAUUAUUGCAUGUUUCCCACACUGAGUAUAUUCUGUAUGCUCAUCCCAUAUUAAACAUUUCAGGUAUUUUGACGUUGGAGACGCGUGGAAGGUCGAAUGGGCGCAUCGAGAUUCAAGACAUUUAUCAAGUAGUUGAUUUGAUUUUCAACUAAUUUAAGUAUUUAAAGUUUUGCUUAGCACAAGUUUUACCUAAUACCUGGAUAUUUUGAUGACAUCUUUAUGUCAUGCUUUGAAAUAAGAGGUUGAUUGUCGAUUUUUAAAUCAAAGUUAGCCUUUGAGUACAUUAUUU
This 9153-nucleotide long non-coding RNA is filed under the name Salvia miltiorrhiza (redroot sage). Its description in RNAcentral is "long non-coding RNA (SMIL_LNC007482)". The record is from RNAcentral. Lineage: Eukaryota; Viridiplantae; Streptophyta; Magnoliopsida; Lamiales; Lamiaceae.